This is a long non-coding RNA of Acipenser ruthenus (sterlet), 1811 nucleotides long. RefSeq lists it as uncharacterized. NCBI's taxonomy places the organism in Eukaryota, Metazoa, Chordata, Actinopteri, Acipenseriformes, Acipenseridae. The record is from RefSeq and is a predicted model, not a curated record. The transcript is spliced from 5 exons.
AGCACAUAGUAUAAAAUAAUGAAUGUACUGAUUCAGAAAACAUGCUCUACAGCAUUAGGCACGGUUGCAGCCCGAAGUUAAAGAAGCAGGAAAAAGCGAAAUAGAUGCAUGCAACAGAGUGGGGGUGACUUUAGCGUCUAACGUCAACAGCAAGGUUUGAUUUUAAUGUCCGGUUUGGCAGGCGAGCCGGCAACACUCGGUGCGAUUAAGAGGUCCUUUCAAAGUGUACCUGUGCACAGCGCUUGCUGUGCUAUUCAAACCCGGCCCUCGCUAUCGCAACAACUUGGCAAGCCUCCCUUUAAAUCGACGGGGAGUAAAGGAUACUCUAAGACUGUAUGGCGGAUUUUUCUGUGUAUGGAAACCUGUUGUUUUUGCAAAUUAGAAACGGAUGCACACUUCAGUAAAACCCAAAAAAAAAAAAAAAAAAAAACUCUCAUUGAAAAUAUUUAUACGGAUCACGCCUUACUCGACAAAAUCACUAGUCCGGAUUGAUGGGAGGCGGUCUGCUAGAGAUGAAUAGAAAGUGAUGUCGUGCUUCUCCCCCAGUACGAGCGGCUCAAGGGAAGGGAUUUCGAGAAAUGUCACUGUUGUGGUGGAGGGGAGGAGGAGGAGAAAGGGGCCGUUCAAACGAUCACAGCGCAUCAGGAUCAAAGCCCAGCAACAUGAAAUACCACAGCCACGAAAGAGAGGAAACAAGCUAGAGGUGAAUCAGUAAGGACUGGACACCAAACCCCAGUCACCAAGAAAGUGGAGGGUCUACUUCAUUAACCAGGGUUGUCAAUCCAAAAUCCAAUUGGAACAUUUCUACACUACGUGGCCCUUGGGCUCCUGCUCUUUCUUUCAGUGUCCAGUGGGGUACCGGCAUGGCUCGUUCUCAGUGGGAUAUGGGCCGGUCCCACAGAAAAUGUGCAGUUGGCUGUGCUGUGACUAUGGGACACUUUUAUAAGAGAUAACUCACACAUGGGUUUCAGCUGGCCGAUCAGCUCCUCCUUGGUCCAUUUGGCCCACUCCUUCUUGUCUGUGUUGAUGGAGCACAGGAUGGGGCCGCAUGGCUUCCCACAGUCCUCUAUGGCAGGGACGUUCAGAGCUGCCAGCGUCCCGUGGAGCGUGUGGUGCCACGCUGAGAAGGGCGACGGGGCCAUCAUGGCGGGACAGCCGGACGCAACCUGACAUGAGUUUGUCAGUCGCCUCUUGUGCAGAAAACAGGAGGUUGUCUUUUAUAUCAAACCCCACUGGCAGAAAGGACCGUCCAGUGGGGAAUUGCUGGGGCCUCUGUCUCUCUGCCAAACAGAUAAAACAGAGCAAAGAACAAAACUAGCAUCGCCCGUCGUCCCUCUCUCUUUCUUUCUCUCUCUCUCGUCCCCUCCCUCCUCUGUCUCCAUGCUGUCGACACAGGAAGAUUUGAUCUACAGACAAAUAUGCUUUUCAUUCACAGCUGACUAGGUCAUUGCUCGCCAUACUUUGGGUUUAACCAUGCUGUGCUUUACAACACUGAACUGGGCUUUUACCACGGCUCUUCAAAUUUGUAAGGGGAGUGUAAAUGAAAUAAAUAAUUCGAUGAAGAUCUGUACCCUGAAUGAGUGGUUUUGGAGAAUGUUUGAUUCGCGGGGGCUGAUGCCCCGCUCUGCCACCAAAGCUACUCUAAGAGACCCCUCGGCUUGAGGCCAAAUGUGGGGCUGUCACUCUGGGCCGAUGCCAGCCGACCAGCUAGGCUGCUUGCCUGAGCCAGCGAGGGCUUCUCCGCUCCCACUGGCCCGUGCUGCCAGUCUCCAUGGAGAUGAGGUCAGAGUCAAGGCAACUGGAAAACCAAA